RNAcentral lists this long non-coding RNA (2341 nucleotides) under Lynx pardinus (Iberian lynx). The record is from RNAcentral. Lineage: Eukaryota; Metazoa; Chordata; Mammalia; Carnivora; Felidae.
AGAGUGACAUUGGCAUCAAUUAGGGGGGGAAUCACCUACCCCACAGUAAGGGCAGUGAAAAUGAACACCAGCAGGAAGACAUAACGUGAAAUUAAUUAAAAGGGGGGCAAAAGACAGCUAGUAAAUUGUGGUUUCAGAAUAGUUUCUAGGAAAAAUAAGCAAACUAUUUUACCUAAAAUUCGCAUUGAUCUUUACUGUUUGGCUUAAUGGACUCCACUAACAAUGACAGUUUAAAGGAUGAUAAAGUAUCACGUUGCUUCAAUUAAAUAGAUAAUUAUGAGGGGAAGUUUUUGAAUCUGGUGUUUGAUGGUUUUAUCUUUCAAUCACAUCAGUAGCAUAUUCACAGUCCCAGUGAUACUUUUAAACUGUUCAGAAUUCUGUACAAGAUGAUGACACACAGGCGGGAUUUUUCUCUAUGGCUUUCUUCAACCACAGGACGUCAGUGCCUGCACUGAAUUUUCAUUCUGCCAUUGCUUUUCAUUUGUAAGUGUCAGUUUAAAAACGCAUUUCAUGUUUCCUCUCAAUAGUAAUCUCAUUUUAUGUCUUUUAUUUAUUUUCUUCCCUUCAACAUAUUAUUGCAUACUAUCUCAUGUAGGCCUAACAUAUUUUGGUGACAAAUACAGCCAGAUACAAAAAUAGAAGGAAAAAAAAACUUUAUAUUUGUUGAGGUAUUUUCAAUUACUAUCACUUCUUGACACAAAACCAUGAAGAACAUUAGGCAGGAAUUAUUGUCCCUGUUUUAUAAACGAAUAUGCAGAUGCUGAAAGAAGUGAUAUAUCCUACACAAAGAGACACUGUUAAAUUUUGCUACAUUUUAACACAAAAUGUUAGUGGAAUCCAUACAACUUAGAGCCUAAAUUUUAUCAAAGGCCACUCACAGAACUUUACUGGUCUUCUAUCUAGUUAUGGCCUGCUUUUGUGUCUCAGAUGUACACAUGAAAAGCCCAAACUUCCCUUUACAUUACCUUGUAUUAGUAACUACAUUGAUUUAAUAUGGGCAACCAGGUCAAGUGAAUAUUUGGUUUCAUGGACAAACUCUUAUUUGCAGAAGACAGAAUUGCUGACCCCUAAACAAAUGUUUGUGUAUGUGUGUGUGUGUGUAUGUGUGUGUGUGAAUAUACACACACACUCAUAUUAAAAAUAUAUGAAUAUGCACUUUAACACAAACAUGCACAUACAUAUACGAAAAUAUUUGUUGCUGGAUUUUUUCAAAAUGUACCUGCAGAGAAAACUUUAAGAAUUUGUUUCAUUAGUGCAGGACAGUUUUAUACUGUAACAACAUAACAACUCUGAUUAUCUUCCUCUCUCUCUCUAUCUCUCUCUUUCUCUCUCUUGGUAUCUUGGCAUAAUUAAAGUUCAAUUGUGAGAAAUUUCCCUGAUAAUUUCUGACUUAUCAAAAUUCAUCCAAAAUAUAAUUCUCACACAUUAAUACUGUCAGUACUCUCUGAUUGGAGAAGUCAUUUCUAAUAGACCAAAGGAAAUCUGUUUCCUUGGAGAAUUUGAAAAGGCCAUGGUAAAAUUUGGAAAGAAAUGUAAUACAUGAAAUUUUCAUCAUACUAUUUAUAUUUCCUUUCCUGUAACAUGUCCUUUUUAGAAGUAGUAUAUGUAUUCUAGAUACACCAUAAAAUUCCUAGCAUCUAUUGCUGAAUUAAAUCAAAGCCAAAUGACCAUAUGGUUAAAUUAUUCACCAUGGAAUACUGCUUUUUAAAAUUCUUUUUACUUCAGCUACAGCAGUCCCCAGCUAAUCCUGAUGCAUUAAGAAUGUCUGACACAUUAGCAUAUUUUAUAAUUGAGCUGAGAAAUGAUGUUACUAUUAAUUUAUUUUUGAAAUAUUAACUUGCUUUUAAAGUAACUAUAAUGAAUAAAUGUCAGAAAUAUUUAUGACAACACAUUGUUAUAUCAGGUAUGCCCUUGAAAUUCCAAGCUACAUUAACAUGAAGAUUACUGUGCCUUUGAAGAAAGUUCUCAUUGUAUCCAGGGAAAAUAUGGUUUGAAUUAUGCUAUGGAGAAGUCCAAUAUGAGUAAAUGAAGAAUGACACAGACUCAAAAUAAUUAGCUACUAUUAUAUUAGUAAGAAUAAGUUAGAAGAACGGGUAAAUAUUGAAGUUUAUAUUGAUAUUGAUUUUCUAAGAAAAUUAGUACCCUUCUAUUAUAUAGAAUGAUGCUUAGCAUUUAAUUUGCACUGCAACUUUUGUGCUGUCUUAAUUUCAUAUCAUCUUGUUUUUCUAGAAAAUUUCAAAUUAUUCAUGGUAAGAACAUGAGCUACAUUCUACACAUUCCCCAUAGCAUCUCUGUUUAUUAAAUACUUAACACAAAAUUCUCUUUUAGAUCAAUCACUUAA